AACGCUGGCGGCGUGCUUAACACAUGCAAGUCGAACGAGGAUCACGGAGAGCUUGCUUGAAAUGAUUGAGUGGCGGACGGGUGAGUAACGCGUGAAUAAGUCCUGUCCUAUACAGGGGGAUAACGCAUCGAAAGAUGUGCGUAAUACCGCGUAGGACCACGUCGGGGCAUCCCGAUGGGGUGAAAGGAGCAAAUCCAGUAGUAGGGUGAGUUCGCGUCUGAUUAGAUAGUUGGUGAGGUAACGGCCCACCAAGUCAACGAUCAGUAGCCGACCUGAGAGGGUGAUCGGCCACAUUGGGACUGAGUCACGGCCCAGACUCCUACGGGAGGCAGCAGUGGGGAAUAUUGGGCAAUGGGCGAAAGCCUGACCCAGCAAACCGCCGCGUGAGUGAAGAAGGUCUUCGGAUUGUAAAUCUCUGUCCUAUGUGAAGAGAGAAAGACGGUAGCAUAGGAAGGAAGCCCCGGCUAACUACGUGCCAGCAGCCGC
Molecule: ribosomal RNA, 486 nt
Filed under: uncultured bacterium
Lineage: Bacteria
Description: bacterial SSU rRNA
Rfam family: Bacterial small subunit ribosomal RNA
Source: RNAcentral